This 524-nucleotide long non-coding RNA is filed under the name Brassica napus (rape). Its description in RNAcentral is "long non-coding RNA (BNAP_LNC017910)". Lineage: Eukaryota; Viridiplantae; Streptophyta; Magnoliopsida; Brassicales; Brassicaceae. The record is from RNAcentral.
GCAUUGAAAUAUAAAAACUACUUAUAUUAUGAAACAAACAUUUUUUGCUAAAACUACUUACAAUAUAAAACGGAGAGAGUAGUUUUCUCUUUCUUCAUUUUUCUACCAUAGUUUCUACUUCGCAUCCUCUAUCCUCGUAACUUCCACUUUCUCCUCCUCUCGACUAACCACCACCACCACCACUGUAUCGACCACAAUAUGAUAACCACCGCAACUUCCACUCUAGUAUCCACCGCCAUCACGACCACCACCUCCGUAUCCACAACUUAUGUAUCCAUAACCACCACCACCUCAACCUCUGUAUCCCUCACUCUCACGUCUUCUACCUCCAUUAUAUCCACCACCAUCUCCUCCUCUCGACAUAACCAUCUACGACGCUUUACUCAUAAUGCAUAUGUCCAAGAAGCUCUCCAUGACCAACACAAUUAAGAAAAAAAAAGAUGUUUCAGAAAGCAAAAGAAAAAUCGCUUAACAAAACCAGCAAAUCUUUAAUAGAAUUUCUUCUAGCCAUUACUACAAUUGGG